RNAcentral lists this ribosomal RNA (253 nucleotides) under uncultured bacterium. Its description in RNAcentral is "partial 16S ribosomal RNA". It matches the Rfam family "Bacterial small subunit ribosomal RNA", at positions 524 to 776 of the family's 1533-position model. The record is from RNAcentral.
AACGUAGGGGACAAGCGUUAUCCGGAUUUACUGGGCGUAAAGCGCCCGUAGGCGGCUUUUUAAGUUGGACGUGAAAGCUCCCGGCUUAACUGGGAGAGGCCGUUCAAAACUGAAGAGCUAGAGUGAGGCAGAGGAGCGUGGAAUUCCCGGUGUAGUGGUGGAAUGCGUAGAGAUCGGGAGGAACACCAGUGGCGAAAGCGGCGCUCUGGGCCUAAACUGACGCUGAGGGGCGAAAGCGUGGGGAGCGAACGGG